UACAGAGGUCCCAAGCGUUGUUCGGAUUCACUGGGCGUAAAGGGUGCGUAGGCGGUCGGGUAAGUCUGAUGUGAAAUCUCACAGCUUAACUGUGAAACUGCAUUGGAUACUAUCCGGCUCGAGGAAUGGAGGGGAGACUGGAAUACUUGGUGUAGCAGUGAAAUGCGUAGAUAUCGGGAAGAACACCCGUGGCGAAGGCGGCUCUCUGGAACGCAACUGACGCUGAGACGCGAAAGCGUGGGGAGCAAACAGG
Molecule: ribosomal RNA, 253 nt
Filed under: uncultured bacterium
Lineage: Bacteria
Description: partial 16S ribosomal RNA
Rfam family: Bacterial small subunit ribosomal RNA
Source: RNAcentral